Molecule: ribosomal RNA, 451 nt
Filed under: uncultured bacterium
Lineage: Bacteria
Description: partial 16S ribosomal RNA
Rfam family: Bacterial small subunit ribosomal RNA
Source: RNAcentral
AGCGAACGCUGGCGGCAGGCUUAACACAUGCAAGUCGAGCGGGCAUCUUCGGGUGUCAGCGGCGGACGGGUGAGUAACGCGUGGGAACGUGCCUUCUGGUUCGGAAUAACUCAGGGAAACUUGAGCUAAUACCGGAUACGCCCUUUUGGGGAAAGGUUUACUGCCGGAAGAUCGGCCUGCGUCUGAUUAGCUAGUUGGUGGGGUAACGGCCUACCAAGGCGACGAUCAGUAGCUGGUCUGAGAGGAUGAUCAGCCACACUGGGACUGAGACACGGCCCAGACUCCGACGGGAGGCAGCAGAGGGGAAUAUUGGACAAUGGGGGCAACCCUGAUCCAGCCAUGCCGCGUGAGUGAUGAAGGCCUUAGGGUUGUAAAGCUCUUUUAUCCGGGACGAUAAUGACGGUACCGGAGGAAUAAGCCCCGGCUAACUUCGUGCCAGCAGCCGCCGUAA